UACGAAGGGGGCUAGCGUUGCUCGGAAUCACUGGGCGUAAAGGGCGCGUAGGCGGACUCGUAAGUCAGAGGUGAAAGCCCAAGGCUCAACCUUGGAAUUGCCUUUGAUACUGGGAGUCUAGAGACCGGAAGAGGUAAGUGGAACUGCGAGUGUAGAGGUGAAAUUCGUAGAUAUUCGCAAGAACACCAGUGGCGAAGGCGGCUUACUGGUCCGGUACUGACGCUGAGGCGCGAAAGCGUGGGGAGCAAACAGG
This 253-nucleotide ribosomal RNA is filed under the name uncultured bacterium. RNAcentral describes it as "partial 16S ribosomal RNA". It matches the Rfam family "Bacterial small subunit ribosomal RNA", at positions 524 to 776 of the family's 1533-position model. The record is from RNAcentral.